GUACGUGUUUAGUUGAUACCUAAAUGUUCAUAAGGUUGUAAUUACAAAGGUACCAUGUGCACUGCUGGCCUUUCUUUUGCUGAACUUUGCAGAGUGUAGAUUAGUAUUGAAAGUUUUCUCUUGCAAUGAGUAGAGGAAUAGUAAUGACUAGGAGCUUGUCUUGGCCAAAACUCCUGAGUCAUGGCUAAGGCCUUUAUUUCUUUUGGCCUUGAAAGACCCUCAGAUAUAUAAUCUAACAUCUAAGUCUUGGGAGGGAUACGAUUGUAUAUGAUGCAUCUUUCAAGAAAUGUAUGUACUUGCUCUAUCUGCAAAACAUUUUCUUUUCAUGAUAUGAUUUGGCAAUGUGCAGAGUCU
RNAcentral lists this long non-coding RNA (354 nucleotides) under Coffea arabica (coffee). Its description in RNAcentral is "long non-coding RNA (CARA_LNC003145)". Lineage: Eukaryota; Viridiplantae; Streptophyta; Magnoliopsida; Gentianales; Rubiaceae. The record is from RNAcentral.